CAUCCUGAAUUAGACAAUUAAGCAUCCAUUUAAUAUGACUUCUAGGAUGAAGAACCUGCUCCAUUUCCCUCAAGGCUUGUCUACUCUGACUACCCAUUUAAUAUGCCUUACCUCCCCGUUUGUACCCUCUUGACCUUGCUCAGGAAGGUCUGAUCUCAGGUUCAAUCAGCCUAUUUCAAAAGCUGAGAAAAGUUAUGGAGGCCAAGUAUGCAGACACUGCAGCUGACUAGAGGAUGCUGGUGCACAGGUGUGAUGGCAGCCAUGACUGGUGCUGACCACCUGAGUGUCGACACCACAGGCUGGAAGAUGGCUGGUGUCUCCAACCCCACAAUGCUCAGGCAUGGAAGGGAAAUGGCCAAAGACAAAGGACUCCACACUGUCCUCAAGGCCCAGUACCCCGAGUGGCACAUGGCAGCCCUGGGAAAUGCCUUCUCUCUUCCUCUUCACUAGUUGUCCAGAGUGUUAACAGCCUGGGUUAAAGCUCACUCUGGGUCAGUCCCACUAAACUAGGACCAGAAUAUGUUAGCAAAAUAAACCAAGGUACAAACCUUCCAAAGAGCCUCUGUGUCUUGUUAGUGAUCCUAAAGCUGAAUGGACUAAGGCUUACAAAUGUUUUUCCCUGUAACAAAUUUUUCAUGGGAAUCAUUAUAAAUAUAUGUACUUUAUUAAGCACUAACUAGGUGCCAGGAAUUGUGCUGUGCCUUACAUACAUUAUUUCAUCUUCACCUCACAAAAAUUGUAUCAGAUAAACACAUUUAUAUCUCCAUCUACGAAUGAGGAAAUAAAACACAGAAAGACAAAUAAUCCAAGGCUAUGUGAUACCAGGGUUCAGGGCCAUACAGGAUCCCCAUCCAACUUAAACUGGUGCUUUCAAUCUAUAUGUCCACUCAAGACAGUCUGCUUCAUGUCACUCAAAAACUGGGUGUCAAUAUUCCAUGUGUUUCCAGUGUUAUUACAACUAUAAAGCUACUUGGAAGCCCUUAAGAGGGAAAGCUCUGGAUGCUGACAUACAUCACUUAAUUCACUACAUGCAAAGAUGUACACACGUGCCCAAUGGUUUCAUCAGUGCCCUUGCUGGAUACUAGCCCUGCAGCCUUGGAUCCUGGGAUCUGUGAACCUUCUUGCCUUACUCAGAGGCUCAGAAAACUCUCCCAGGUCUCUCAUCUCUAAAGAACAGGAAGGUAGCCCCAAAAGCCCUCUGUCAAUUGCCUUUGUGUUCCCCUUCCCAAGGCUACCUUGUCAAAGCUACCAUUCCUGUUCUACCCUUCACUUUAUCUGCCUUUACUCUUCCAAUCACCACCAACAUUUAUAGUCACUCAAUAACUGUACAAUCAUGUCCUGGAUGACUACUAUUUUGGGGAGACUAAGAUAAAUACUACACAUGUAUGUAUGAGUGUGAUACAUAUAUACAUAUACCCACAAAUACAUCUACGCACACACAUACAUAUCUGUGGCCUUCUAUUUUCAUGACACCUUAGUAAAACCACUUACUAGUCAUGGCACCACUGUUAUGUGACAAUUUCACUGAGGUUUUGUUUCCUCAUUUGUAAAAUGGUGACUAUGGUAACUUUCUUAAAGGACUCUUACAAUAGUUACAUGAGAUAAUUUCUGUAAACUGCCUGCCACAAAGUCCAGCCUUUGGGCACUCACUAAAUAAUUACUGUCACCACUACUGUCCCAGCAUCCUUUAGUAAUGAAUUGUAUGGCUCACAUUAUCAUUCAUUCAAAUCUUCCUUUCUUCAUUCACUGAGUUAAUUCACUCAUUCAUUCAGAGAUUCUGGGGUCGAGCCUAGAUAAAAUUCUCCAUGGGUGGCCUCCUCAGAUUAUUUUGAGAAAGAGGGGAAAAAGAAAGGGCAUGGAGAUGUAUUAUACAAAGAUUUGCUGAGUAUUUACUUUGGAUCAGGACUUCACUAGUAUUUUCUAUUUAAUCCUUCCAGCAACCAUGAAAGUAUCUUCAUCCUCAUUUUAAUGAAGCAACUGAGUUCCAGAAAUAUUAGGUCUCCUGUCCAAGGUCAUACAGGUGGUGAGAGGCAGAGCCCAGAUUCCAUCACAGAUGUCACAUUCUGAAUACUGUGGUUGUAUCCCUGAGCCAAACGUCUACCCAAACCACUAGGGAAUAAUCAGCCUUGAAGAGUAAAAUGUGGCUUUUAAGAAAGCAGAGUGUACAGUACUACAACCCAGUGACAAAUGCCAUUUUCCUUUUUAGCACUUUGAGCUACAAUCAGUCCCCAAACACACACCAGAUAGGAACUGAAAAGCCCUGGUUAUACAAGUACUGUUCCAAAAAUAAAAUGAGUGUUUUUUAUGAAAAGCCAGAGAGAGACUAAAAAACAGCAGGAGCGCAAACUAUGUGGAAAUACAGACUUAGAAAUAAGGGAAAAUCAAUCUACUCUCCCAGAGCAGUAACACCAUCCUCAAGAUCUCUGACCAUUUCCAUGCCCUGAGACCCACAAGAACCCUGGAAACAUAGAGCAACCUGAAGUCCUUAUUCAUUAACUAUUCAUUGCCAAAGAUGUUCUGCAACUACUGUAACUCUGUUCCUCCUGUGAGUCAUACCCUGUGCUAAGCACCAGAGACACCUACAGCACCAGGUUCUUGCCCUCACUGAAUUUCCACUCUAGUGGAAAGAAAGGAUUAUUAAAUAAUCCUAUAAAUAAGUAUAUAACUGCACUUACAAUAAGCACUAUAAAGGAGAAACAUCUGGAGCUGUGAGCCUCUAUAAUAGGGUGAAGUGCCAUAAUCAGGAAAACCUGAUUACUUUAAAUUUACAUUACCCUAAAGAAGUGAAGAGUAAGUUGAGAGAGAGGGAGAAAGCGAUGUGUAUUGGUGAAAGUUCUUAGAUACAAACAAGAAAGUCACCUUUAGCUAGUUUAAGACAGCAGGCUUUUAUGGAGGGAUAUUAGACAGCUCACAGGAUCAUGGAGAGGACAGAGAACCUGAGCUUCUAGCAUCACCUUCUCCAGCAGAAAUAAACUGAGGCAUGGGUACCAAUACGGGAUGGUGAUCUAGAAAGAUUUCCAACUUGCUUCUCUCCCUUUCUUCCCAUAUGACUUUCAUUUCAAACUUUCCCUGUGGUUUCACCUCUUGAAACACCAUGUCUCAGCUUGGAUGAGCCACCUGAAAGACAAUCAGUGAGUGUGUAGAGUAGGCAUGAGGAUCUUUCCAAAUGGGCUCAAAUUUUAUCACUCAGGAUUAUGCUGCUCCCCUGCUCAAAAUCUACUAAGAGUUUCAUGACUUCAAGAUAAAAGUGAAACCCACUGCAUGGCUCCCAGCACUGUUAAUGAGCUGGCUAUAACCUACAUAUAACAGACACAUCCACACCAUUCCUUGCCUAUGUGGAAUUCUGCAUUCCAGAGCUCGCCUACACAUCCAACAGAUGUAGCUAAGCAGUGGGUAAGGCAGCUGGAAAGUGAGAAGUGACCACAAUGAGCAGGCGGCCUUCUGAAAAAUGUAGCUAUUUAUCUGCCUCACUAGUGAUGAGCAGCCACAAGCUUCCUCUGACAAGGCGUUUAAGGAAUGGGAAAACUGCAUUGUAUCCUUUCCUUCUGUUAAUAAACGAUAAAGUAAUUUGCACUUUAUAAAAAUAUGUUAACUCUGUCACUUGGUAGGAGAGUACUUUGAUUAAAAAGGCCCUCUGUGUACUCCGUCUCUCAACAGUAGCUAGAAUUCUAUCAUUAAAGCCUGCUUCUAACAGAUUUUGGCCCAAAUACUAGAAGCUGGUUCUUCCACUAUGAGGUGCCUCCAACAGAGAGACUGUUUGACAGAGAGGCCACGGGACAGAUGACUUGCUACUAGGAAACCCUAAUGAAGGUUUCCACAAAUGUGCAAUCUGUAUGUGUGUCCAGCUCGCCUGAACAGGUUUGGCUGCCAGAUUCAGGCCAGAAAAAUGUAAAUAUUUUGUCUAGACUCAAGGAUAAAGGUGG
Molecule: long non-coding RNA, 3923 nt
Filed under: Homo sapiens (human)
Lineage: Eukaryota; Metazoa; Chordata; Mammalia; Primates; Hominidae
Description: HSALNT0061291
Source: RNAcentral